UGGCGGUAUGCUUACACAUGCAAGUCGAACGGUAGCAGCAGAGCUUGCUCUGGCUGACGAGUGGCGGACGGGUGCGUAACGCGUGGGAAUUUACCUUGUAGUGGGGGAUAGCCCGGAGAAAUCCGGAUUAAUACCGCAUAAUCUCUACGGUAGCAAAGUGGGGGAUCUUCGGACCUCACGCUAUUAGAUGAGCCCGCGUUAGAUUAGCUUGUUGGUGAGGUAAUGGCUCACCAAGGCAACGAUCUAUAGCUGGUUUGAGAGGAUGAUCAGCCACACUGGGACUGAGACACGGCCCANACUAAUACGGGAGGCAGCAGUGGGGAAUAUUGGACAAUGGGCGCAAGCCUGAUCCAGCAAUACCGCGUGUGUGAAGAAGGCCUGAGGGUUGUAAAGCACUUUCAAUAGAGACGAAAAGCUUAGGGUUAAUAACCCUGAGUCUUGACUUAACCUAUAGAAGAAGCACCGGCUAACUCCGUGCCAGCAGCCACGGUAAUACGGAGGGUGCAAGCGUUAAUCGGAAUUACUGGGCGUAAAGCGCUCGUAGGCGGUUUGUUAAGUCGGAUGUGAA
Molecule: ribosomal RNA, 568 nt
Filed under: uncultured Gammaproteobacteria bacterium
Lineage: Bacteria; Pseudomonadati; Pseudomonadota; Gammaproteobacteria
Description: bacterial SSU rRNA
Rfam family: Bacterial small subunit ribosomal RNA
Source: RNAcentral